Chlorocebus sabaeus (green monkey) is the source of this 87-nucleotide microRNA precursor. Ensembl annotates it as microRNA 124-3. Its record names the gene MIR124-3. Lineage: Eukaryota; Metazoa; Chordata; Mammalia; Primates; Cercopithecidae. The record is from Ensembl.
UGAGGGCCCCUCUGCGUGUUCACAGCGGACCUUGAUUUAAUGUCUAUACAAUUAAGGCACGCGGUGAAUGCCAAGAGAGGCGCCUCC